Molecule: long non-coding RNA, 7242 nt
Organism: Rattus norvegicus (Norway rat)
Lineage: Eukaryota; Metazoa; Chordata; Mammalia; Rodentia; Muridae
Source: RefSeq, a predicted model, not a curated record
CUCCUCCUCCUCCUUCUUUUUUUCCAGAAAGUAAGUAAAUUCAGUAAAAAGAUAGUAAGAAAGUAAGAAAAGAAUACUGAAUAUAGCCUGAGCCAAUUCUAGGAGGCUUGAACUUAGUUUUAAAUUGUAUCCCAGUAUUAAUAUUUAGUUUAUAUGGCACCGUAUUGUCCAUAACUUUACAAUGUAAAUUAUACUGUUUUAUUAGCUUUCCAAUUCUAUUUCUUCAUUAUCAAGUUCAAAAGUCUUUAGUGACUAAGGUUUCUGUCUACUUCUUUUUUUACAGCAUAAGGGAAAAGUUUACCUUGUUAGCUACUUCUUUUUAAUAUUUAAUAAUUAACUGAAUAUAUUUAAUAUAUAAUAACAAAUAAUUAAAUAGGGAUUUAAUAAUUAAAUAGGGAGUCCCAAUUUCUAUAUAUCCUGUUAAGAAGCUGUAUUUUUGGGUGGGAGCGGUAAUCCCAGCACUCAGGAGCCAGAAGAAGAAGGAUUGCUGCAAGUUCAAAGCCUGCUUGCUUUUUAUAGAGAGUAGCAUAGCCAGGUUAUAGAGUGAGACCCUAUCUUAGUUAGGGUUUCCAUUGCUGUGAACAGACACCAUGACCAAUGCAACUUUUAUAAGAGAUAGCAUUUAAUUGGGGUUGGCAUACAAUUUCAGAGUUCAGUUCAUUAUCAUCAUGGCAGGAGGCACAGCAGCAUCUAGGUUGACAUGGUGCUGGAAAAGGAGCUGAGAGUUCUACAUCUUGAUCCACUGGCAGCCACAAGGAGACUUUCAGUUUCACACUGGGUAGAUGUUGAGCAUAGGACCUCAAAGCCCACCCCCACAGUCACACACUUCCUCUACCAAGGCCAUACCUAUUCCAACAGUGUCACUCCCUGUGGGCCAAGCAUUCAAACACAUGGGACUAUGGGGACCAAACUUAUUCAAACCACUAUAGACCCUGUCUCAAAAACUAAAUAAAACUUAAAAAGUGAAACUGUAUUUUUGUGUUCAUGUCACAACUGGCUGUGCUGAGGAGAAAACUCACUAGCCAGUGGAUGCUCAGCAUUCCCUGUGCUUCUGCUGUGGGAUCUGUAGUUCACUGGAUUAAGGGUAGAGAGGCUCAGGGGUUAUUUUAGGCCCUGAGAAGUUCCUUGAUGAUGAAAGACACCAUUGCUAACAUUAUUCAUGAAAAGGCAGGAAAGGUCAUCUGUGGCUCACUCCAUGCUCUUUCAACGAUUGAUGGCUCCUCUGCAGAGGGCUGGCUGCUGAGAGACUGCACCCCGUGAAAGUGUGCAUGCCUGCUGCAUCUCAGAAACUAUCCAAAUGUUUCCUCAGUCUUUUCCCAUGGUGGACUUUGCUGUUGAUGGCCUUCAGACCUUCUCCUUCUCUACCCCCUCCCCAAGCAUCACUUUUUUCUUAGUGUUUUGGGAAAUUUAAUUCAUCUCAAGUUUUAACCUGUUGAGUUUUAUCCCCUGCUUCUUGGCACUUUUAUAAACCAUGGCUUUUUAGUGUUACCUAAGUUACUUAUUGCCUAAACCAAGAUUUUGUCCAUUUCCCUCUGAGGUGAUCUCUCUUGAUCUAAUCUUUUCAUUGAUUUAGCCAAUGUUCCUCCCAGGUUUCACUUCUGCUUCGCUUCAAACCCUUCCCUCUCUGUUAACUCUCUCUGUACACCAGGCUGGUCUUGAACUCACAGAGAUUCGGUUGCCUCUGCUUCCCGAAUGUCUCUUUCGUUUCUUAAUAUUUGGAUUUAGCUUCCUCUUCCAUUUAUUGACUAUUUGCUUGAAGAGUGACAGAGAUGCACAAGGAAGAGCCUUCCUUAGGAUGAUGAUGACUUCCUCAAGGUCAAAUCAAAUAAAGGGAAUCUAAAAGCAGAGAGAAGCAUGCUGGGAGGUAGCAGAGUUUGUUUUAAGGGACCAGAAGGAUAAGCUGGCAAAGCUUACUCUCUCUCUCUCUCUCUCUCUCUCUCUCUCUCUCUCUCUCUCCAGUGAGAAUGGGGAAGGACAAGGGUAGAGGAAAGUAUCAUAGGAUAUGGGACUAUUUAAAUUGAAAAGAAAUUGAGACAUGAAUGUUCAUUUGCAAAUGGAAGGAGCCUGGGCUAUUUCAAGCUGUGAGUUUAGGGUUGUAAGCUAAGUUGCAUGUACAAAAUGCAGGCAUGGGGGAACUAUCUCCCAAAUAUUUACAUCCCUAAGACUCAAUUCCGGCAUGUAGCUAAUUACAAAGUAAGCACGCAGAGUCUACAAGUUCACAUUGUGCCUGACGGUACCCAAGUGUGUGUAAGGGAAGUGGAGCCAGGCCAGGGAAUCACUGUUUCCAGGACUUGGCUUAACCCCUCAUGUGGGUGGUGUGGUGUGCCAAUACAGUGAGACCAAAACAAGCAACACUCAAAUGUUCACAUUUCCCAGAUUUGCCAUUUGCCGAGAUAAAAUGCUGUGGCUAUGAAAACAACUAAAGGCCACCAAAUUUACCAGGAGCAAUGCAUACAUUUAUAGAUAUUUGAAAAAAAAUCAAGAUUAGUUAUUUAUAGAAGUGAUUUAAAACUUAACUAUUUUUAAAACUGUGCAUAUAUUCUUUCGUUAACGUGUUAAAAAAAAAAAGCCAAGCCAAACGGAUGGCACACAUAGCUACCCUUCCUUCACACAUUACUGUAAAUAUGCACAUGCAUGUGUGGGCAUUCUUGUGAGUGUAAGCAUUCUUGUGUGGGUGGGGACGGGCGCCAUAUGUGAGGGGCUGUGCACAGCAUAGCAACACAACAGCUGCUUUUCUGAGCUUCUUUUCUCCAUCAGUCAUGCUGAUGACAGAUUGCUGGGAUCCUCAGAGAAGAACUGGAGACAUCCCCCACCCCCCACCCCUGAUCUAGAGGCCCCUUAAACAGCUACAGCUAUUCCUGUUGCCAACACACAGUUCUCUUUUCGUCCUGUCCACACCUAGUUUUCACCUUUCAGUGCUAAGUCUGAGCAAAUGCCAUGCAGAACGGACACAUCUGGGGACAGUUGUGUGGCUUUGGUUGUGCUCAGGGUCGACCUGGGAAGCCAGGCUUUCUGUCUGUAUUAUGGAUCCAUUCUCAUUCUCCUCUAUCUUCCUCCCUUUUGUCCUUCUCUCUUCCCCUCUCUCCCUCCUCCUUUCUUCCCUUCCUUCUGCUUCCUUUCCUGCCCUCUUUCCUUCUUUCUUUUCUCUCUAAUAAGAACAAGAGACAGAAACCAACCAUGCAGCUCAAUGCAGCAACCUGGAAAUCAGGAGUUCUGCCAUUUGACACAUCUUAGCCGGAGGCUGGACAGGUCCUUGGAUCUAUUAGCAGUGUUGUCCUGAGCAGAGGCUGGAAAUAGCAAGAGUGUUUAGGAGCACUGGUUUGCGCUUCUGGGUUUUUUCUUCUCCUUAUACAAAGCAACUUUGUUUUUGUAUUUUUCCUUGAGAAAUUCUUCAUGUUGUAGUCCUGGCCACCUCCCCCUGGAUCUUACUAUGUAGACCAGAAGGCCUGAAAGUCACAGGCAUCCAUCCACCUCUGCCUCCGGAGUGCUGAGAUGAAAGGCAUUCGUCACUUCACCCAGCUUCCACAGCAACUUUAAUGAGCCCAGCUGCCUGGAAAUUAUGUGGAUCCCUGAAACAUGUGCCCCAAACUCCAGACCAGACACUAGGUGGAUCAGUACCUGGUAGAUGGGGCAAGUGGACUGACCAGCAGCUCACAUCAUGUCUCCACACAGCAAAAGCUUAUUAAACCCGGGAGGGGCAACUCUCUGUGACAACUCCUCCUUGAGAGCCACUUCAGGGCUACACAGCUGCUUUGCCUUCUUCCUUAAUCUUUGGCUUUCUCUUACAGUGAGGGUCUGGUUAACCAUUACAUUCAUUCUUUGAAUUUAUAAGAUAAAGGACCUAGACACCACUAGUGGCUUUGGUGACCCUUAGUUAUGGGACAUCCUGGUUCUUUGAGCUAUUGUUCACCUGAGGAAUGAAAGGCUCUACUGUGCUCAAGGACCUGGUUCUCCCUCCUCUUCUCUUCCUUCUCUUUCUCCCACCUCCACCCCACCAGUCUUCCUAGCAGAGUUUUUGAAAGGCUGGCUUUCUGUUCCCCAGCCUGUAUGAUUCUGUCUCAGCCUCCUGACUCCUGGGAUCGCAGGCAUGUACCAACACACUGUCCCUGCCAGACAGUCUUACAUAAGUAUGUAAGGUGUAUUGUCAGAGUCUGUAAAGUAUCGACAGCUAAUAACAAGCGGAUUGAUAUUAAAAGAUAACGCAUUUCCCUUUCCAGGUAAAAUAUUUCCAUAAGUGUAGACUGAUUCUAGAAUAAAGCUUGUAAAGCCACCUAGUGCUGUUGCUAUGGUGUAUUGCUGUUGGGGAGAGCAGAUGUUUGAGUAAGACGGGCUCUUGAGGUCUCUGACGGCCUGCCACUCAGGCUCAGUUGCCCAUGAUUGAAGCCAUGCAGCAGAGACCUCCUCAUCAGCGAGGAGAGGAUGCUGUCUCAGAACUAUCAAGCACCUAUUGGCCUUCUCUCUCCAAUCAGUAGUGAUCCUCAGGAAACCUGUCUGCAUCUCUUUGCAGUAUAAGUUGAUCAAGGAGAUCACGGAAUGAAAGCAUCUGGACCAAGGAGUUGAGCAUUCUUUCAGUGGGGAGCAGUUCGAGUCUGUGAUCAUAACAGAGCAUUAACUCGCUUUAUGGCAUAUGCUGGGCUAUUCCUCAUGUUCUGUCCCAGAGUAGGCAGCUGUCUCUACCAAUAAAUCUCAUGAAAUUCGCCACUUUGGGGGAAAUCAUGUUCUUAGAACUUUGAGGGAAAAAUUAAAAGUCUGCUGUAUCUUAAAGAAGUUCAGAGCAAGGCACAUUAACAUCUUACUUAGUAUGCUGUGCCUCAUGCUUCUCUGUAAGGAUUCCGGCGAGCCACGGCUAAUCUUUGGGCACAUUGCAAAUCAUUCGUUUUCUGAACUUGGUGAAAGUGAGACUGCAGAGCUUCCACCUCUUCUGGGGUUUGACAGAGACCACUGGUGUUGACAGAGAACUUAGCAGGACAUAAGGAUCCCAGGACCCUUUUUGGUCCCAGCAUCCCUUUAUUUGGAAUGCUCUAUUUGAUCCUUUGGGACUGGAGGUUUCCUAGUGUCAUGAAGGGGCAGACAGCCAGAGACUAACACGAGGCAUAAGGUGGCCCAAUUUAAAUUUUUAUUAUUUUAUUUAUUUAAUCCCUUUUUGGAUGUUUUGAAACUGAAGUUAUAGCUAACAAGAACAGUCAGUAGGUGACUGUUGGGGUGGGGGUGGGAUGCAGUAUGGGAAUGGGCUGCAUCCAGAAGCUGACAGGAUUGGCGCUUGUUCCCAGACUCUCUCUGUUCUCAGUGCUGCUUUUCCUGCAAAUGCAUCGUUGGCCAAUUUUCCCAGUCAGCCCUGUCCUCUGGCAACUCAAUUCAGGGGCUGUGUGGAGGAGGCCGACUUGCCACCGAGGGCCAGCAGCAACUGUGGGAGAACUGAUUAGCUUUUAAGAGCAGACCUCCACCAGACAGGCAGGAGUCUAAAGAGUAAAUAGAGGUGCUGGCCCUGGAUUUUUUUUUUUCAGGCCCCAGAGAGAUUUGUUCAGCAGCGUCUGAAUUCCUAUAGAAAAGCUCCGAGAAACUCUAAAUUAAACUAAGCUGACCCCUUUCACAACCUACGUUAUUUACAGUUCACAGGGCUUUGGAGAGUUCUAGUUUGCAUGCAGUUGGAAAUAGGUCCCCAGUUGGCAGAGGUGGCCCAUUUGCAUCACACUACCUUGCUUUCCUUUGGUGUGCAGAAAGCUCUGAAAUGGGAGCCAAAAGAUGCUGUCCAGUUGUAAACAUGCCUUUGUUUUCACAGCGAAAGGAAGGCUCUGGUAGAAAUCACCAAGAGAGCUAGCUACUAGAAAGCAAACAACCGAGUCCUCUAUAAUUAAGUGCAUUCCUCAGAAUAAUAACUAAGUACCAGGAAGGAAAUCAAGAAACACUCCCUCCCCAGCAUUGCAGCUGAUGUCUUUUGCACUUCUAACAAAAAGACCUGGCACUGAUUACAGUGCUCAGUUUCCCCAUCUCGCUCCUUCCUGGAAAAGCAACUAAAGCUAAGCAUCUUUCAGCGCCUGGGGUCUGGCUAGUAUCAGAGUAAAAGGAACAGUUAGAUCAAGUUCGUUCAUCAUUUAUCGCCUUAGCCUUGGUCCUGGUGUGGCACUGCUUUGUGUCAUGGUAAGAUAGGGUAAUGUUGAAAGGGAGGUGUGUACCUCUCUUUCCCAAGACUGAUGAAUGAGCUUGCCUGCUAGGUAGGAAACAUUCAUCAGGCAAAGGAGAACAAUUACUUUACCAAGAUAAAAGUCUGGUUUCAAUCAUGAUUACUGGAAUUGGAGUAAGUGAAGGGACCAGUUGACUCAUCCUAUCUCAGAAAUAAAUGAGAUAGAUUUGUCCCCACUCCUUUCUUGCAGCUCAGAGCAAGCCUAUCACUGUCCUAGUAGGCAAGCACACAAGGUGUGGGUGUCAGGGCUGAUAAUGGUUUGAGGACAGCAGAAGAAGAGGGCCAACUAGCAAAACAAUGGCAAAACAGAGAGGGGCUACAGCUGGGCCUUCCAGAGAUUUCCACUUUACUUGGAAAACAUGAUAAAUAUGCAGGAAGAAGAUAGAGAAACACAGUCAAGCAGAAAAAUGUGCCAUCACACCUGACGCAGCAGCACUCAAGGAAACAGCAGGUAGACUAAAGACUGGAUGGAGGGACGGCAGCUGACCAAGCGCUUCAGAGAUGCUGUUGCGACAGAAGUAUUCUGCUGGAAAUUCACUGCCCGCCAUCACCUGGAAGGAAACCAUAUGACGCGAGGUGUCUGUCUUCUCAGUUCUUCAGGCCAUGGCAGCUUCCUUCUUUUGAUGACCUUGACAACGGGUGGAUAGUGGUCAGGAAUUAUGUAGAAGGUUGCUGCUGAGUCUGCAUGGCUGUGUACUCCCCCUCCCCCCAAUCCUAAUUCAUAAAGGAAUGGUAUCAGCAGAUGGGGCCUUGUGAGAACGGACCAGACCACAAGACUUCUGCCUUCAUGAUUAGUCCCAGGAACGAUAGCAGGAAUUCCAGAGUGGACUCUGCAGUUCCUUCACCAGGUACUCAAAGUCCAAGGGGUUUCCAGUACCAAGAAAAUUACAAGGUUGCAAGAUUAGCGUGACACAUCCCGGGGUCAAACUGCAGGAAGGAAAAGCUAGCACAUUAAAGGUGAUCUUCAAAUAGACCCUAACAUUAAAAUGACCUCCAGCAGGAAUCCCAUGGCUGGGCCCAUAUCCAAAUGAAAUAAAGUCAGUAAGUAUGUCAAAGACUUA